This 44-nucleotide non-coding RNA is filed under the name unclassified sequences. The record is from RNAcentral.
GGGGGCAGAACCCCCGGGAAAUUCCCGCAAUUGGGGAACAAAAA